GCGUGGGGAGCAAACAGGAUUAGCUACCCUGGUAGUCACGCCCUAAACGAUGUCAACUGGUUGUUGGUCUUCACUGAUUCAGUAACGAAGCUAACGCGUGAAGUUGACCGCCUGGGGAGUACGGCCGCAAGGUUAAAACUCAAAGGAAUUGACGGGGACCCGCACAAGCGGUGGAUGAUGUGGUUUAAUUCGAUGCAACGCGAAAAACCUUACCCACCUUUGACAUGUACGGAAUCCUGCAGAGACGCAGGAGUGCUCGAAAGAGAGCCGUAACACAGGUGCUGCAUGGCUGUCGUCAGCUCGUGUCGUGAGAUGUUGGGUUAAGUCCCGCAACGAGCGCAACCCUUGCCAUUAGUUGCUACGAAAGGGCACUCUAAUGGGACUGCCGGUGACAAACCGGAGGAAGGUGGGGAUGACGUCAAGUCCUCAUGGCCCUUAUAGGUGGGGCUACACACGUCAUACAAUGGCUGGUACAAAGGGUUGCCAACCCGCGAGGGGGAGCCAAUCCCAUAAAGCCAGUCGUAGUCCGGAUCGCAGUCCGCAACUCGACUGCGUGAAGUCGGAAUCGCUAGUAAUCGUGGAUCAGCAUGUCACGGUGAAUACGUUCCCGGGUCUUGUACACACCGCCCGUCACACCAUGGGAGCGGGUUCUGCCAGAAGUAGUUAGCCUAACCGCAAGGGGGGCGAUUACCACGGCAGGGUUCGUGACUGGGGUGAAGUCGUAACAAGGUAGCCGUAUCGGAAGGUGCGGCUGGAUCACCUCCUU
RNAcentral lists this ribosomal RNA (766 nucleotides) under uncultured bacterium. RNAcentral describes it as "bacterial SSU rRNA". It matches the Rfam family "Bacterial small subunit ribosomal RNA", at positions 759 to 1532 of the family's 1533-position model. The record is from RNAcentral.